UUUUUUCUUUUUUCUUUUUUGUUUUUUUAGGACCAUAACCGUGGCACAGGGAAGUUUCCAGGCUAGGGGCUGAAGUGGAGCUGCAGCUGCCAGCCUAUGCUUCAGCCACAGCAAUACUGGAUCCGAGCCGCAUCUGCAACCUACGCCACAGCUCAGGGCAAUGCCAAAUCCUUAACCCACUGAGUGAGGCCAGGGAUUGAACUCACAUCCUCAUGAAUAGUAGUCAGGUUCAUUACCACUGAGCCACAAGGGGAACUCCUGAGCACUGUUAUUUUUAAAACCUGUUUUUCUGUAUCUUGGACAGUAUCAAUCACUAGUGUACACUUUGAAUACACGCAUUGGCUACGCGAAUGGCUUUUAAAAAUCAUCUCCCCCAUUUCCCCCAGACUUGUUCUUUGUCUCAUGGUGCAAAUUUCUUUCCAGUUUUUAUAAUUUUCCUUUCUGUUUUAUUUAUAGUGUCUUUCGUAUGGAGACGUGACUGUAUAACACAGCCAGUUCUAUCUACUCCCUCCUGACCUCUUAGGAGGGCUCGUUCUUUGGUGUCACAUCCGGAAAGACCAGCUCUGUCCCAAUUUAUAAUAUAUUCAUUAUGUUUUCUUUAUGUACCUUUAGCAUAUCUAGAACUUAUUUUAAUGUAUAAUGUCAGGAAGAGAAUUAAGUUUAAACAUUUUCAUAGUUAUCCAGUUGUACCAAAGCAAUUACUGAAUAUGUGGAUUCUUGUCAACAAAGAGAUGGUUCAAGAAUCUGUAUUAAUCCUGUAUAAAGUACAUUUCCAAGAAAUAUAUUUGAUUAUGCUUUAUUCACUUAUAUUUUAUUUGCUUUCUUAUUUCACAGUGGUAGGGACGAUAGAUUCCGUUAAAUAGGAUAACAUGAAUUAAUCUUUCCCACAUCCUAGUUGGUAAUUUCUGCCAACAACUAAAACAUUUUUCAUCAUUUUUUCCUUCUCUUUUUCCUAAUCAUCCCUACAUUACAGACUUAACUCAAGGAGACUAGAAGGAGAACAGUAUAAGAGCUAAAACAGCAAAGCUCACUUGGCCACUUGUGCUAAUAGUGAUGAUUUUUUUUCCUACAUUAAAUAUAACCUACAUAGACAACAGCUUUGUAGAUAUGAAGACAGUAUCUUCAGGAACAGAACUGUGCCACUGACUUAUUUUGCAAGAUGUCAUGGGUACAGGCAGAUACUUUGUACUUUGGAGGCAAGGAAAGAAUGAACCUACCUAAGUGUUUAAUCUGAGAGAUUUUUAUUUUCACUUUUUGCCCCUACCACCUAGGGUAAUAUUCUGUUUAAUUCAAUCAGAAGUAUUGCACACUUGCUAUGUGUUGGGUACCAACUCAUCUGAGAUAGUUCUUGAAGAGGCUUGGUCCAGAUAGUAGCU
RNAcentral lists this long non-coding RNA (1376 nucleotides) under Sus scrofa (pig). Its description in RNAcentral is "lncRNA (ENSSSCG00015027453.1)". The record is from RNAcentral. Lineage: Eukaryota; Metazoa; Chordata; Mammalia; Artiodactyla; Suidae.